ACAGUUACCAGCACCUCUAGCACAUCUUGCAUCCGCGACUUAGACCGCGACUCGAGUCGCCAUUCCCGCGGCUGUCAAAUCUGUCGAUUUCCGUAGCAUAACUUGUACCCGCGACUGCAACAGCCGCGUAGAGAACUCAAAGUCGCGGCGCGACUCGUCAGUGUUACCCGGCGAAAUCAAAGUCUAAACAAAUCGAUAUUUGCAAGUGGCAACACUGAAUCGGAAACCAGGGAUGCGCUAAAUCAUUCGUUCUUUGGUGGUAAAAAAUCUAGUUUUUUGUCGAUGGUUAAGUUUUUCCUGUCAAAGUCAAAGAACUUUCAAAUUUUGUCAGCAUUUAAUUAUGGGAAAAAAUAUGAAAAAAUGUAAGUAAUAGAGCCUUAUAUAAUUAAUAUUGAUAAUAUUCCUUAAAAUAUAUAUUGUUUAAAAAUUUCUGUUUAAUAAACCUUUUAAAUAAAAUAUUUUUGUAAGUAACUAUAAUAAUGGAAUUGCUAUUAUUGGGUUUGUUCUCAUAUUCCUGUUGUAAAUAGUGUUUUUCUUUUUCAGAAUAAGUUCAGCAUUAUCCUAGACACGAUUGAUAUCCCAGCACCCAAAGGAAAAUAUUAUUAACAGGAACGUGCCAACGGGACCCGAAGUGGAGAUUCAGGAAAAGAAACACACUAGGCAAGCUUGGUGAUAUUUAAUUGUCCUACGCCGCAUGUCGAAGAAAAAGGAAGAGAGAAAAUACUUUUCAAGGGUAAUAAAGAAGAUUCUUACAAUUUCUCUAUAGUGGUUCUAGAUGUUAAUAUAUAUUAGGUUUAAUAAUAAGAAGUCGAAUAUUGCAAGAAUAUAUAAGGCAAAGCAAUAUACUAUUAAUUUAAAUA
This is a long non-coding RNA of Cydia fagiglandana, 860 nucleotides long. RefSeq lists it as uncharacterized. The record is from RefSeq and is a predicted model, not a curated record. NCBI's taxonomy places the organism in Eukaryota, Metazoa, Arthropoda, Insecta, Lepidoptera, Tortricidae. The transcript has 2 exons.